This 1189-nucleotide long non-coding RNA is filed under the name Struthio camelus australis. RNAcentral describes it as "lncRNA (ENSSCUG00000002440.1)". The record is from RNAcentral. Lineage: Eukaryota; Metazoa; Chordata; Aves; Struthioniformes; Struthionidae.
GUAAUUAUUCAUUAAAGUAAGAACAGCAGCAAUUUACAUCUAUGUAGAGUACUACAGGCAGACAGACAUUUGUGUUUGUUGAUUGUUUUUGUUUUUGUGGGGGGUUUUUUUGUGGUUCACUUCCCCCCCUCCCUCCAACCUCGGGUGCUGGGAGUUCAAGUGUCCCUGGAAAACAACUUCACCACAUCCAUUAUUUAAAGCUCUUUCUUUACUAAUUUACACGCUUAAGAAAUACACAAAGCCGUAGAUAUUUAAAACAUGGGCCUUUUUUAUGCCUUCUAUAAAAAUACAUGGUUUAAGGCAGCUUGGAAACGCAUUUAUACAAUUCUACAACGUUCGUAAAGUCUCUCCAAAUAAGAAAGUUAACUUCAAAUCUAUAAAAUACACUGUACAUUUGAUGUUCUAGAGAAUACUUCACUGAAUCAUUGUUGCUGGUAUCCCUUUAAACAUAAAAUGAAAUCUGUACCUUUCCAGAAAAGAAUAGCAAAUGCAAUUAUCUGACAAAUAGGAUGUGGAUUUAAAAUUUUUAUUUUUUAAAUAAAUUAUUCUCAAAGCAUACAAUUUAUAAAAUUCUAUAUACAAAAAAGAGCAACUGGUAACAAAUCCCAGUUUUAAAUACAUUUUUAUAUAAGAUUUACCAGAGGUCAGCACCCUGAUAUGACGAGAGGCAAUAUAACUUUUCAGGAUAUUUGUACAUACAUGCUCUUGAGUUUAAAAGUGUCUUUCAAAGAUGGCAGUGCAGAGCUCUUUUAAAACAAAAGUUGCAUUGUUCAGUAUAGCCAACAACUCUGAAAAAAAUCAGCAUUUUUUUGUCGUUAGGUUAAAGAGACUUUUGCUGGCAGGCUUUUGUUGUAGGGAAGACGCGUGUGCAAGAGGGAGUGCUGUAAACUAUUAAAAUUAAAUCAGACUGUUAUUUUCUCAGAUUUAAUUGAAGGCAGUUGCGGUAUAACCCUCUUUUGGGCAUCACUGCGCCGUGACUAGUGAUACUUGAUGAAAGAUAACCAAGUUGUUAACUAACCAGUAUGGCAACAGUUUCGGCAGCAAGUUUGGACAGCUCACCUCUUUCUAACCUUCAUGUCAAACGCUAAAAAACAACCAUCAGCAUAUCAUCAUUUCUGUUUCCUUUUGGGGCUGGUGGUGGUAGGGAACCUACAGUAGCUUCGCCAGCCGCCUCUCUUGUUAGGUCCUC